Lolium perenne is the source of this 316-nucleotide long non-coding RNA. RefSeq lists it as uncharacterized. NCBI's taxonomy places the organism in Eukaryota, Viridiplantae, Streptophyta, Magnoliopsida, Poales, Poaceae. The record is from RefSeq and is a predicted model, not a curated record.
GAUGUUACAGAUCAACAGUCAUAGGAGCGGGUCUUUUAUACCUUCUUCCGUUUUGCUCAAGUGUUUGGAUUUGUGGAAGAAAUUCAAGUCCAUUCCUCGCCCCCACCUUGGAAUGUGGUUUUCAGGUAUCAAGCUUUUAGAUCUUGUUCGAGUGGAGAAGCUAUGGCAAAAGUAUAAGAUCGAUGAUGGUCUUAUUGUUGAAGAGGUUUCAAAAGGAUCACACGCUGAGGAAGUUGGAAUCCGAAGAGGUGGUAUUAUUGAAUGUUUGAAUGGAGAGCGGAUUUCCAAUACAGUUCAGGCAGGUCUACUUACAGAA